UGUCAAAUCAGUUCUUUGUUGUUUUGUUUACAUUCCAUCGUUUGGUGGUUUUCCAACGUUUCGUCGUCUCGGUGUGAUCAUAAAGUGCUGUUUAUGGUAUACCUACCUACUUGCAAAGUAAAGAACAGUCGAGUUGAGAGCACCCUAUGCCUCCCCCUCUUUUCUUUAGUAUUGUGAUACUAUCUUAGCGAAAGGAUGCUUGUUUGUGUAUUGUGAUCUGUUUGUAACCAUGUCUCUUCUACGCUGCAUCAACUGCGAUAUUCGAGUGACUCGAAUUAGGCGGCAUCUACUCCUGGAAGAGAGUGAGGCUCUUACAGAAGUUAUGAGACUGUGAACAUAUCCAAGAGAGAUCACAAACACUGACUAUUUGCCAUGCCUCUUGGGAACUUGGAAAUGCUCAAGUCACUGGAGCAAACAUUGUUGAGAAUCAAGAGAGGCUAAUUGGUCUUCACAACAUUUGUGUAGGAUGCGGCCGCUCGAUUUUCAGUCAGUUCUCGCACAAUAUUGAGAGAAACUCCUACAAAUGAAGAAGGCCCAAUAGUUGAUAUUAUAUCACAGUGGAUACAUCCAAGACAGAUCAACCUCAUGGAUAGUAUUUGCCAUGCUUGUUGGCAACUUGCAAAUGAAGCAACACGGCAAGGUUCUGAGUCACCAGGGACUGCAUCCCAUCCAUUGCAGACAGAUGACUCUCCUGACUCACAUGAACUACAGGAAGAUAAUCAUGAGGAGGCGUGCCAUCAUAGGAUAUUGUUGCAACUGUAUUGUGGAUUUGAGGACAGUAGGGUGUUGCUCACAUGUGAUGAGUAUCGUAUGGUAUUUAGCCUAUGCUCGUCACUUAGACAAUAUAUCACCACCUGCACAAGUGUUAGAUGGAAUUCUUGUAAGAAUAAACAUUGAAUAAAUCAGUAUAUUGAUUUUAA
This is a long non-coding RNA of Ostrinia nubilalis (European corn borer), 920 nucleotides long. RefSeq lists it as uncharacterized. The transcript has 3 exons. The record is from RefSeq and is a predicted model, not a curated record. NCBI's taxonomy places the organism in Eukaryota, Metazoa, Arthropoda, Insecta, Lepidoptera, Crambidae.